AAAAAGGUCCUUUUCAGGACCAACAAUUCAUAGCUAAAACCACGU
This is a non-coding RNA of Acyrthosiphon pisum (pea aphid), 45 nucleotides long. Lineage: Eukaryota; Metazoa; Arthropoda; Insecta; Hemiptera; Aphididae. The record is from Rfam.